GAAAUAUUUUAAUUAAGCUGCUAACUUAAAUUUUUAACAGUUAACCCUGUUUAUAUUUCU
RNAcentral lists this transfer RNA (60 nucleotides) under Arge aurora. RNAcentral describes it as "Arge sp. CSCS-Hym-MC0179 tRNA-Ser". The record is from RNAcentral. Lineage: Eukaryota; Metazoa; Arthropoda; Insecta; Hymenoptera; Argidae.